AGUGCCUUUGGUGGACCCAUCAGCAGACUGCACAGGGCUGCGGGAGGAACCACUGAGUCAACAGGGACUUCCCAAACUGAAAGGCAAAGAGGAAAAAAAAAAAAAGGAACAGAAUACCCAAGAACAGGAACAAUUACAAACGUGUAACACGUGCAAGGGAAAUACUAGAAGGAGAAGAAAGCGAGAAAGGAACAGAAUAAAGAUGGGAAGUAGUAAUGGCUGAGAAUUUUCCGAAGUUGCUGACAGACACCACAGCACAGAUCCAGGGAGCUGGGAGAACACCGAGCAGGACAAAUGCCAGAAAACCACACCUUGGCACGUCGUCUUCGAGCUGCAGAAAAUCAAUGACAAAAAGAAAGUCUUGAAAGAAUUCAGAGAAUAAUCACCUUCCCGGUACGGGGACAAGGCCAAGGAUUACAUCAAACUUCUCUUCAGAAACCACGUGAGCACUGAGAGUGGAGGUAAAUACCUAAGAUGCUGGAAGAAAGCAAGCACCGACCUAGAAUUCUGUACCGAGUGAACUACUCUUCCAAACUGAAGGAGAAAUAAAGACUUGACCAGACAAGCAAAAACAGAGGGAACUGUUGCCAGCAGACCUGCCUGGCAAGGAAGUUCCAAGCAGCUCUUCCGAGAAGGAAAGCAAUGCCGGCCAGAAGCUCGAUCUGCACAAAGGAGGAGGAGAUUUCAAGAAGGAAGGUUCCCACGCGCAGAUAACGCCUUCUCCCUGCCACGGCCAGUGCAGACGCUGUUUGUGUGCCGCCCAGGCGGGCUCCUUCCAGCUCUCAGAGUAAAUGCCUGUGCCCGACUCCUUGGCUGUCUCUCCUCUCUGGGGAUCCGGGCACCUUUCAGCACCUACUAAUGUGACACAUUUGUGAAGUUUGCACUGAUGAGGAUGAUGAAGAAGAGCGGUGGUGGGUAUAAAAUGAGAACACUUCCCAUCUGUGCAUGGUCCGCUCUGAGUUAAGAGUAGGUUAAAGAGGGAGGGGUCGGGAAUUAGGGGAGUCAGGACAAAGCAAACCCUGGAAGAGGUGAACCCCCAGUCUGGCCACCCAGAAGUUUCCCUCAAGGAGCCUCCUGAAUGGUUUCUUAACAAUCCUGUUUAUUCACGGCAGGAGACAUUUCACUGUGUUUGAGGAUGUAUUUAAUUACUGUCAUGUUGGUAAUGAAGAGCCUCUCCACCUAUAAAUGUAACCGUAACCAAAACCGUAGUUGCCCCAUCUUUUCUUACCGCCCCCCGCCAAAGUAUCCCCUUCCAUUCAAAGCUAAUUCAAAACCCCCUCCCAUGCCCCCUCCACCUCUCAGAGGUUCCCCAUCAAUUACUCGUUUCAUCUAGUAUCUGCCUCCUUAGUUUAUUCCCAAACAUUUCUCACCUUAAAAAUAACCUCCCUUGGUUCUCCUUGUUCUCUCACAUUCCUUUUCCAUUACAGCUUCUAGAAAGAAGAGCCAGCACCCGUCUCACCUUCCUGCAGGUGGGAUCACCUGGGGAGCCUCAAUCCCCUGCCGCUUGGCACCCUCUGCCCCUCCUGUUCACAGUAAUUUCUCAGCCCUUCCUCUCCUUAGAUGACCUCACCUCCUAUGUCAGCCUCGAUUGUCUCACAUGUCUGCCUGUGUUGCUCCCAGAGAAAUGAAGCAAAGAGCUGCCCGUGCCCCUGGUGGCUUUGGCCCAGCACAAGGGCCCCUUGCCAGCACGGCACCCACGCUCCUCGUCCCCGGUCCUGGUGGCUCCAGGCCCUGCCCGACCCCUCCAGGUGCCCCACACCUGCGCCCUGGCUCACAGGUAGCUUUGAAUGGGCUCCCUUCCCGCUGUCUGAGCUUUGGAGGAGAGUGUUUUUCCACCUUUAAACAUCUACGCCCAGCACAGAUCUUGGGCCUUUGUAAGUUUGGUGAAUAACUAAAAUUAAUACUCAGUUCUCGUC
This is a long non-coding RNA of Choloepus didactylus (southern two-toed sloth), 1916 nucleotides long. RefSeq lists it as uncharacterized. The record is from RefSeq and is a predicted model, not a curated record. The transcript has 2 exons. Lineage: Eukaryota; Metazoa; Chordata; Mammalia; Pilosa; Megalonychidae.